RNAcentral lists this non-coding RNA (21 nucleotides) under Arabidopsis thaliana (thale cress). Lineage: Eukaryota; Viridiplantae; Streptophyta; Magnoliopsida; Brassicales; Brassicaceae. The record is from RNAcentral.
UCUGUGUGCCGCUUGAGGUAA